CUGAUGCAAUUCACUUCAUCCAUACAACACAACCAUUGCAAGAACUCUCCUUCAGUCUACUAAGUUUCAUAUUUUGGUGAAAUUGGUAAAAUAAUAAACAAAAGUUUGAGCUUUAAUCCGAAUCAUCCUCAUCCAUCGAAAACAAGAAAAUACACUUGCUUCUCUGUUCGCUACGGACUUGAUGAAAUCGGGCAGAAAAUGAGGCGAUUUGGAACUUCGUUGCGGACCUGAAUCGAGUCGGUAAAGUGGUAAAGCUUGCUGUUUUUAGCCCCUUUGAUUUUGCUCUUGAUGCGUUGUGAAAUUUGAUGUUCUAUCAAUCUCGUUGAAAUGAUAAACGCUUUGCCUUUUUCUGCUCUUUCAAUUUUAUUUCUUCAAAUUGUCAUUUAACAAUUUUUUUUUCUUUGUUUUGAAAAUUGUGGAUCCGGUUCAUACUAUUACUGAACAAGCAAGAAAAACUAGCAAAAAGUUACGUUCUUCUCGAGGAAUUUGAGAAACACAGAGUCGAAGAUGAGGUAUUAUUAUUAUUUAGUUUUUGGAUAUUUUAAUUUUUCCUUGAAUUUAGAUUUUUCUCAUUUUGUAAUGCAGUUUCAUCGAUUGGUUGUAAAUAGGGAUCUCAAAUUCACCAACUUUGUGGAGGUUAGCUAAACUCAGGGGGACGCAGAAAUUUUACAUUAGG
Molecule: long non-coding RNA, 676 nt
Filed under: Olea europaea subsp. europaea
Lineage: Eukaryota; Viridiplantae; Streptophyta; Magnoliopsida; Lamiales; Oleaceae
Source: RNAcentral